CCUGAUUUUCAAGAAUAUGACCCCAGGCAAUUUUUGAGUUGAUCUUGCUUCGAAGAUAUCAUUCAAAAUGGUAUCUGUGGUACCAUCUAUUAUUGUUUGAAGAUUUUUUGAGAUUCAUGGAAAUUUAUAAUUUCAAUUGCACAAAUAAAU
Molecule: long non-coding RNA, 150 nt
Organism: Cotesia glomerata
Lineage: Eukaryota; Metazoa; Arthropoda; Insecta; Hymenoptera; Braconidae
Exons: 3
Source: RefSeq, a predicted model, not a curated record